UUUUUCAUUUUAUUUCUUUUCCCUAUCUCCCUUUUUUCCCCAUUUGAAAUCUAUAUCUACGUAUAUAUCUCAUAUUUGUGUUGAAUAUAAUGUGAAUUAGAUAUCCGUGAAAAAUUAUAGUACGUAAAUAGAGGGAGAUAAUAGUGUGCAAGUGUAAGGAUCUCGAAAGAAUAAUAUCACACGUGGCACGUAAUAUUAUCCAGAAUAGUCGAAUAAGGAAAAUGUCAGUGCAUCCGCUAUCACCUAUACUACCCGUCCGACUUUUAGACAUAGAGAGAAAAUAAGGUUCAACCUUUAUAAGGGCGACACAAAUCAUGCUAACACGACGUUUGUCGGUCGUCGUUGAUCUCGAACGAAGCGACCCGUUAAACUUAACGAAGUUUACACGAUUUAUAUUAAUUUUGAGAAAUAAAAUAUUGGAAAAGAAAAAAAAGGAAAAAAGAAAUCGAUCUAUUAGGGGAAGGGAAAGGAAGAUCAAACGAAAGGAAACCAAAAA
Vespa mandarinia (Asian giant hornet) is the source of this 496-nucleotide long non-coding RNA. Lineage: Eukaryota; Metazoa; Arthropoda; Insecta; Hymenoptera; Vespidae. The record is from RefSeq and is a predicted model, not a curated record.